Ochotona princeps (American pika) is the source of this 140-nucleotide small nuclear RNA. Its record names the gene U4. It matches the Rfam family "U4 spliceosomal RNA". Rfam says of the family: U4 small nuclear RNA (U4 snRNA) is a component of the major U2-dependent spliceosome. The structure of U4 snRNA from yeast and human has been reported. The record is from Ensembl. NCBI's taxonomy places the organism in Eukaryota, Metazoa, Chordata, Mammalia, Lagomorpha, Ochotonidae.
AGCAUUGGCACAGGGACAGUACUGAAGCCAGUGAGGUUUGUUCAAGGUGUGACUGUUGUUAAUUAAAAACGUUCCCCUGUACCCUGCUGUGAAGACUUGCAAUAGUCAACAGGGGCAAUUUUUGCCUGUCUCUAUGGAGA